Molecule: long non-coding RNA, 1006 nt
Organism: Scylla paramamosain (green mud crab)
Lineage: Eukaryota; Metazoa; Arthropoda; Malacostraca; Decapoda; Portunidae
Exons: 2
Source: RefSeq, a predicted model, not a curated record
AGGAGGAGGAAAUACGAAAACAAAGUAAUGAUGAUAAUGAGGAAACAAGUAGAGGAGGAAGAGAAAGAGGUAGGGGGAAGAGGAGGAAGAAACGCGAAAACAAGGUAACUAUGAUAAUGAGGAAACAAGUAGGAGAGGAGGAGGAGGAAAGCGAGGUGAAUACAGACAGACAGUAGCUUCUCUUCGUUAGUCUUUUGCCAGCUGAAGUGGUGCAUGGAGAGAGGUGGUGGUGCAAACGGUACCUGUCCUGCCCAUCUUCAGUAUCAUCACAACCUAGGAAUGAAGGAAGGAAUACAAAGUUGUUCUGCUUCAUAUUCUCUCGUUUGGCACGGGUUUCUCAUCACAACCUAGGAAGGAAAGAAGGAAGGAAUUCACAAUUGUUCUGCUUCGUAUUCUCUCGCUUCGCACGGGUUUCCAUGGUGAUGCAUGAAGUAUUUAAAACCUGGAGACGAAAGAACGCAAAGAUUCAUUGCAGUCUCUCGUGUCGUACAAGUUUCCGUGGUGGUGAUAAUGAACCAAGAUCUGGAGACUCCACAAAGCAAACGAGUGUUGGUGAAUGGUUCAUUGCCAUAUUUCAAACUUUUACCCUUCACUACAUUACGUUGUGUACUCUUUCUACCCAGUGUUUAUAUAGUUCUGGAGUCUCCACAAGGUAAACUUGUACUGGUGAAUGGUUUGUUAUAAUAUUGGUCUUUUUAAAUAAAAUAUUACUUUAAAAUCGCAAUCCUUUGAGAAAUGUAUAAACACAAUGCACAUCUAGGGUAAAUAAUAAUGCAAUUAGACUUAGGGGUUAAUAAUGCAUAAAAUCUUAAUCGCAAUCCUUUGAGAAAUGUAUAAACACAAUGCACAUCUAAGAUACUAAAAAUACUGUUACGAGUUGAAAAUACUCAGACUCAACGGAGAUGAGGCGAAUAGGUAAUUACUGAGAAAAUAAAACCAAUAGUGUCCCUCUAAAAUUGUCAUUAUUUAAUAAAACAAUUCUAUUAAUAAAACUCCCAUAACAAUG